Molecule: long non-coding RNA, 2773 nt
Filed under: Medicago truncatula (barrel medic)
Lineage: Eukaryota; Viridiplantae; Streptophyta; Magnoliopsida; Fabales; Fabaceae
Description: long non-coding RNA (MTRU_LNC004188)
Source: RNAcentral
AAUUUAGCAUAUUCAUCUUCCUAAAGCAAACUUUGAUUCAUAUCCUCAUUGUCCAAACUUUGAUUCAUUUAUGUUCUCUUAUCUGGAAAAUGGCUGAUGUUUUACUUGGAACUGUGAUUCAAAACCUCGGGUCGUUUGUUCGAGAGGAGCUUUCGACCUUUUUGGGUGUUGAAGAAUUGACACAAAAGCUAUGUGGAAAUCUCACCGCAAUUCAGGCUGUCCUCCAAGAUGCUGAAGAGAAGCAAAUAACGAGCCGUGUUGUGAAAGAUUGGCUGCAGAAGCUGACUGAUGUUGCUUAUGUUCUUGAUGAUAUAUUGGAUGAUUGUACAAUAAAAUCAAAAGCACAUGGAGACAACAAGUGGAUCACCAGUUUCCAUCCUAAGAUGAUUUUGGCUCGUAGGGAUAUUGGAAAGAGGAUGAAGGAGGUUGCUAAAAAGAUUGAUGUUAUUGCUGAAGAAAGGAUCAAAUUAGGAUUACAAGUGGUAGUCAUGGAGGAUCGCCAACGAGGAGUUGAUGAAAAUCGCCAAACUACUUCUGUCGUCACUGAACCAAAAGUUUAUGGAAGAGAUCGUGAUAGAGAGAAAGUUUUUGAGUUUCUGCUAAGUCAUGCUCUUGACAGUGAAGAACUCUCUUUCUAUUCCAUUGUUGGUGUUGGUGGGCAAGGAAAAACAACACUUGCUUGAAAUGGUGUGGAAACAUGUUACUGAGAUCGUGUUUUACCUUUUGUGAGGUUUUUCCUAAGGAUUUUGAAAUGGUGAAGGAAGAACUGAUCCAUCUUUGGUUGACUAAUGGAUUCAUCUCUUCCAUUGGAAAUUUAGAGGUGGAGCAUGUUGGUCAUGAAGUGUGGAAUGAAUUAUAUGAGAGAUCAUUUUUUCAAGAAGUCAAAAUUGAUAAUGUUGAUAUUGACUUCAAAUUACUAAUUCUGUAAAAGCCAAAAUCGUGGAAUGUUUUUGCCGAAGGCAAAUCGCGUUCAUAUGUUAAUUGAAAGGUAAUUGAAGCAUGAAAUUAAAUUGGCCUUUCACUUUUUCCUAGGGUUAUGAAGUGCCGAAGUUCCAUUAGGUUAGCCCAUCCAUGAGUCUUGUUAAAUAAAAACUUGAUAAAAAAAACUCUAUAUACAAAAUAAGAAAGGCAAAUUCUAUGGUACAUCCAAUAAAUUUGGGUGUAUCGGUACACCAAGUCAUAAAAUUAAUAAUAAAUGAGUUGUUUUUUUUGAUGAAAAAUAAUUAUUUUCUAUCAUUGACAACUAAGAUAAUUAAAUUUUAUAUAUCAAAAGCUUCGACGAAAUAAAAAUUAAUUUUUAAGAAUUUUUAUUACUCAUAACAAUGAAUAUUGAUUAUUUUUUAUGACAAAAUGUAAAUUUUGUAAUAUGAUCCUUAUAAACAAUGAAAUGAUGGUUUUUCUUAUGAAAUGAUGUUUUCUAAAAUAUAAAUAUUGACAAAUACCUUUUUAUUUCAUUAAAGUGAUCUUUAAUUUAUAUAUUUUUUGAAAAAAGAGUACCGGUACACUCAAAAUUGUGAGUGUACCAUAGAAGUUCCCAAUAAGAAAAUAUUCCUUAAAAAAAAAAAAUAUUAACAAAUAUCAUUACGAAAAUGGUUUUACCAUCUAAACGUGUUUAACUGCGCAUUUUGUUGUCGAUUUGUGUUUUCACUUAUAUGUAAUUUUUAUAUAUAUACUUCCCUUCCAAAAAUUAUUCACAUGAAGAAGAAAACAAAAGAAGCAGCACUACAAAUACAGCAAAGACUUUGGAAUGCUGUCAAGUAAACAUGAUUUGCGUGUAAGGUCGUGAUCCACCAUGAAGACAAUGACAAUUUCAAAAAAGCAGAUUUACAAACUUUAUUAAAGUAUCUUUCUAAAUAAAUGUAUUAAACUUACAAACCAUAAGGAGAAAAAGGAAAGAAAGUGAAGAUAACGCUAAAGACUUUGAGAGUCUUUCAUAAAAAACAAAAUAAGGUGACUUGGAAAUUUCUUAGUCUUUUUUCUUAAUAAUCCUUUUUCUUUUUUUAUUAUGUUCAAGACAAAUGCUAAUUAUUAAUUAUCUUUUGACAAGAUGUUAGUAAUUAUUGUUAAAUUUAUAAUAAACCGUAGUCAAGAACCAUUUCUAAGAAAACGAAGAGAGUAAAGAUAACAUAGAAUUGUUUUGUGCGUGUCAUCUUUGCGCAAGGGGCCAUGCUAAUCUUGUCUGUAUCAUUUCAACUUUAUCAGAUGUCCCCAAUGGGACAAGAUAAUGAAAUCAUACACUUGAAAGUGAACAAUUUUACUACUCACAGAGCAAAUGAACGGACAUGAUGAAAAGAUUCCCAACUUUGUUUUUUCCUCACAACUUGUAACACUAUAGUACUAAUAUUCAUUGUUAAUAUCCACUACACAACUUGUUCUAAUCCUCACUCUCAUGUACAAUAAUUAUUGUUUUUUUAGAGGAGCCAGGUUUGAAAAGUAACACGAGAACCUUUCAAAGAUAAUAGUUAAAAACAAAUAAUUUAGUAUAUUCAUCAUCUUCCUAAAGCAAACUUUGAUUCAUAUCCUCACUGUCCAAACUUUGAUUCAUUUCUGUUCUCGUACCUGCAAAAUGGCUGAUGUUUUACUUGGAACUGUGAUUCAAAACCUCGGAUCUUUUGUUCGAGAGGAGCUUUCGACCUUUUUGGGUGUUGAAGAAUUGACACAAAAGCUAUGUGGAAAUCUCACCGCAAUUCGUGCUGUCCUCCAAGAUGCUGAAGAGAAGCAACUAACAAGCCGUGUUGUGAAAGAUUGGCUGCAGAAGCUGACUGAUGUUGCC